Molecule: ribosomal RNA, 497 nt
Filed under: uncultured bacterium
Lineage: Bacteria
Description: partial 16S ribosomal RNA
Rfam family: Bacterial small subunit ribosomal RNA
Source: RNAcentral
GAUGAACGCUGGCGGCGUGCCUAAUACAUGCAAGUCGAGCGAACAGACGAGGAGCUUGCUCCUCUGACGUUAGCGGCGGACGGGUGAGUAACACGUGGAUAACCUACCUAUAAGACUGGGAUAACUUCGGGAAACCGGAGCUAAUACCGGAUAAUAUAUUGAACCGCAUGGUUCAAUAGUGAAAGACAGUUUUGCUGUCACUUAUAGAUGGAUCCGCGCCGCAUUAGCUAGUUGGUAAGGUAACGGCUUACCAAGGCAACGAUGCGUAGCCGACCUGAGAGGGUGAUCGGCCACACUGGAACUGAGACACGGUCCAGACUCCUACGGGAGGCAGCAGUAGGGAAUCUUCCGCAAUGGGCGAAAGCCUGACGGAGCAACGCCGCGUGAGUGAUGAAGGUCUUCGGAUCGUAAAACUCUGUUAUUAGGGAAGAACAAAUGUGUAAGUAACUAUGCACGUCUUGACGGUACCUAAUCAGAAAGCCACGGCUAACUACGUG